CGCUAGCGGAAGGCUUAAUACAUACAAGUAGAACGGUAACAGAGGAGCUUGCUCCUGCUGACGAGUAGCGCACGGGUAAGUAACGCGUACGGAAUCUGCCCUAAUCAGGGGGAAAGUCGCUGGAAACGGCGAAUAAUCCCGCAUAAGACUACAGAGUCGCAUGGCUACAGGAGUUAAAACUUUGGUGGAUUAGGAUGAUCGUGCGUGCGAUUAGUUAGAUGGUGAGGUAACGGCUCACCAUAACGACGAUAGCUAGGGGGCGUAGAGAGCGUAGACCCCCCACACGGGUACUGAGACACGGACCCGACUCCUACGGGAGGCAGCAGUCAGGAAUAUUGGUCAAUGGCGGGAACUCUGAACCAGCCAUUCCGCGUAGCGGGAAGACGGCCCUACGGGUUGUAAACCGCUUAUAUCACGGAAGAAAUGCAGUCAUUAAUGACUGAGUUGACGGUACUUGAGGAAUAAGCACCGGCUAACUCCGUACCAACAGCCGCGGUAAUACGGAGGGUGCAAGCGUUAUACCGGAAUACACUAGGGUUUAAAGGGUACGCAGGCGGUACAAUAAGUCUGGCGUGAAAUCCCGUCGCUUAACGAUGGAAUUGCGUUGGAAACUGUUGUACUAGAAUACGAUCGAAGUAGAUCGGAAUACGUCAUGUAGCGGUGAAAUGCAUAGAUAUGACGUAGAACACCGAAAGCGAAGGCAGGUCACUAGGUCGAUAUAGACGCUGAGGUACGAAAGCGUGGGUAGCGAACAGGAUUCGAUACCCAGUAGUCCACGCCCUUAACGAUGUUUACUGGAUAUUUGGUCUAUUGAAGUUUGAGUAUCUGAGGGUAACCAUUUAGUAAACCACCUGGGGAGUACGUUGGCAACAAUGUAACUCUCAGGAAUUGAACGGGGGUCCGCACUAUCGUUGGAGCAUGUGAUUUAUCUCGAUGAUACGCGAGGAACCUUACCUGGGCUCGAACGCAACAAGACCGCACUUGAAAGGGUGCUUCUCUUCGGAGCUUGUAGUGAGGUGCUGCAUGGUCGUCGUCAGCUCGUGCCGUGAGGUGUUGGGUUAAGUCCCGCAACGAGCGCAACCCGUAUCUUUAGUUGCCAGCGAGUAAUGUCGGGGACUCUAGAGAGACUGCCUCCGCAAAGAGUGAGGAAGGGAGGGAUGACGUCAUAUCAUCAUGGCCUUUAUGCCCAGGGCUACACACGUGCUACAAUGGCGCAUACAGAGGGGAGCGAAGUCGCGAGACGGAGCGAAUCUCAGAAAGUGCGUCCCAGUUCGGAUUGGAGUCUGCAACUCGACUCCAUGAAGUUGGAAUCGCUAGUAAUCGCGCAUCAGCCACGGCACGGUGAAUACGUUCCCGGACAUGUACACACCGCCCGUCAAGCCAUGGGAGCUGGGGGUGCCUGAAG
RNAcentral lists this ribosomal RNA (1405 nucleotides) under uncultured organism. Its description in RNAcentral is "16S ribosomal RNA". It matches the Rfam family "Bacterial small subunit ribosomal RNA". The record is from RNAcentral.